Long non-coding RNA from Mytilus californianus (California mussel), 804 nucleotides. RefSeq lists it as uncharacterized. The transcript has 3 exons. Lineage: Eukaryota; Metazoa; Mollusca; Bivalvia; Mytilida; Mytilidae. The record is from RefSeq and is a predicted model, not a curated record.
ACUGGACAUGAACAUUCACACAACAAACAAAGAUGUCUUCUAUCAUGAACAAAAUAUGAAUUUUAUAAUGGAUUUAGAUCCAAAAGUUCCAAUUUAUUCUAUUGACAUUGGAUAGUGCAGAUGUAGUCUUCUGAUGACAUGACUCUUGAAAAUUUUUAGGAAGAUUGGUGUUUACACAUAUUUUGGAUAACAUCUUUUGGAUGGAGAAAGAUGUUCACUAUGGAUCAAAAAUUCAAAACAGAGGACAUUUUUAUUCAAACAAAAAUACUUGUACAUGUAUGAUAUUCUGUACAUACAACAAGAAAACAGUAAUGAAAUGGAAUGUCCAGUGAUGUUGAAAGCAAAAUUAUUUUUGUUAACAGAAAACAAUAGGACUACAAUAUAUUAAGGUACACAACACAUCUUGUCAGAAGAAUAAUUUUACUGGAGGAUAAAAAAUUUAAUACCUGGAAUCAGCAAUUUACAAAAUGUAUAUGAAAUUUAUUAAGAGAGAUAUAUUCAUGUACAGAAUGGUAACCCCACCAAAUAACCCAGGUGGCUCAAGUGAUUAUAAGCAGACAUUUUUGUUGAACUAAUGCAGGAUUAAAUAAAUGAAGCUUUAGCAGACUAUGGGCUCCAAAGUGUAGUAAAAAGAGAAUUUUUAAAUAUGUGAGACUCAUCAACAUUAAAAUGUGCAUAUUAAGUGAAAUAUUACAAUAUUUAGUAAAAAAUUCAGAUUAUUUACUCAGUUGUUUUCAUGAAAUUUUUUAUUAAAGCAAUAUCACUGUUAUAUAAUUAAUAAGAUUCCAUAUGUUUUAUUUUAUA